RNAcentral lists this ribosomal RNA (245 nucleotides) under uncultured Clostridia bacterium. RNAcentral's name for it is "partial 16S ribosomal RNA". It matches the Rfam family "Bacterial small subunit ribosomal RNA", at positions 524 to 768 of the family's 1533-position model. The record is from RNAcentral. Lineage: Bacteria; Bacillati; Bacillota; Clostridia.
UACGUAGGGGGCGAGCGUUAUCCGGAAUUACUGGGUGUAAAGGGCGCGUAGGUGGUUGUAUAAGUCAGAUGUGAAAAUUCAGAGCUCAACUCUGAACUUGCAUUUGAAACUAUAUGGCUAGAGUACAGGAGAGGAAUGUAGAAUUCCCGGUGGAGCGGUGAAAUGCAUAGAUAUCGGGAGGAACACCAAUGGCGAAGGCAGCAUUCUGGACUGUAACUGACACUGAGGCGCGAAAGCGUGGGGAG